CAGCACCUCAAGUGGUCAGGAUGAUUAUUGGGCCUAAAGCAUCCGUAGCCUGUUUUGUAAGUUUCCGGUUAAAUCCAUUAGCUCAACUAAUGGGCUGCCGAAAAUACUGCAAAACUAGGGAGUGGGAGAGGUAGACGGUACUCGGUAGGAAGGGGUAAAAUCCUUUGAUCUAUUGAUGACCACCUGUGGCGAAGGCGGUCUACCAGAACACGUCCGACGGUGAGGGAUGAAAGCUGGGGGAGCAAACCGGAUUAGAUACCCGAGUAGUCC
This 270-nucleotide ribosomal RNA is filed under the name uncultured archaeon. RNAcentral's name for it is "partial 16S ribosomal RNA". It matches the Rfam family "Archaeal small subunit ribosomal RNA", at positions 477 to 747 of the family's 1478-position model. The record is from RNAcentral.